ACGAAAACGAAAGUAGGCCUAGUAGGAAGACUACGAGGGCAAGUCGCGCAUCAAUUGUCAUCAAUUGUAUGUCGAAAUGAACCCAGAUCUGAUUGGUCCACACAGCUGCUAAAAGAUGGAUCUCCCUCAAGAGGGUGAGGAUGUUGCCAGCGAUGUUGUCAGUGCAAAUCAGACAGGCAGAGUAGCAUGUGCUGUAUCCAGCUACGUGUCCAUGAAUAAUGAGUCCGUUACUCAUGGACAUCAGGGGGUCAGCAAAGGACAAAGGCUAAGCGUACACAGUGCAGGACCACAGACACACAGACCAGUGUCUCCAGUGCCCAGCUGUGUGUCUAUGAAGAGUGAUUGGUCCAUGGAACACCCACUAUAUUUCAGGAGUGGACCACCACCGUCUGAUCCAAA
Molecule: long non-coding RNA, 399 nt
Organism: Sardina pilchardus (European sardine)
Lineage: Eukaryota; Metazoa; Chordata; Actinopteri; Clupeiformes; Clupeidae
Exons: 4
Source: RefSeq, a predicted model, not a curated record